UUCGGAGCAGUGGAGACAGGUGGUGCAUGGUUGUCGUCAGCUCGUGUCGUGAGAUGUUGGGUUAAGUCCCGCAACGAGCGCAACCCUUAUCCUUAGUAGCCAGCGAGUCGAGUCGGGCACUCUGGGGAGACUGCCAGGGAUAACCUGGAGGAAGGUGGGGAUGACGUCAAAUCAUCAUGCCCCUUAUGAUUUGGGCUACACACGUGCUACAAUGGCGUAAACAAAGGGAGGCAAAGGAGCGAUCUGGAGCAAACCCCAAAAAUAACGUCUCAGUUCGGAUUGCAGGCUGCAACUCGCCUGCAUGAAGCUGGAAUCGCUAGUAAUCGCGAAUCAGAAUGUCGCGGUGAAUACGUUCCCGGGUCUUGUACACACCGCCCGUCACACCAUGGGAGUUGGUAACGCCCGAAGUCAGUGACCCAACCGCAAGGAGGGAGCUGCCGAAGGCGGGACUGAUAACUGGGGUGAAGUCGUAACAAGGUAGCCGUAUCGGAAGGUGCGGCUGGAUCACCUCCUUUCUAAGGAA
Molecule: ribosomal RNA, 523 nt
Filed under: Hungatella hathewayi
Lineage: Bacteria; Bacillati; Bacillota; Clostridia; Lachnospirales; Lachnospiraceae
Description: bacterial SSU rRNA
Rfam family: Bacterial small subunit ribosomal RNA
Source: RNAcentral